GCCCCUGUCGUCUAGCGGUCUAGGACAUCGCCCUCUCACGGCGGUAACACCGGUUCAAAUCUGGUCGGGGGUA
RNAcentral lists this transfer RNA (73 nucleotides) under Aeriscardovia sp. Its description in RNAcentral is "tRNA-Glu". It matches the Rfam family "tRNA". From Rfam's summary of the family: Transfer RNA (tRNA) molecules are approximately 80 nucleotides in length. Their secondary structure includes four short double-helical elements and three loops (D, anti-codon, and T loops). Lineage: Bacteria; Bacillati; Actinomycetota; Actinomycetes; Bifidobacteriales; Bifidobacteriaceae. The record is from RNAcentral.